Molecule: ribosomal RNA, 521 nt
Filed under: uncultured eukaryote
Lineage: Eukaryota
Description: bacterial SSU rRNA
Rfam family: Eukaryotic small subunit ribosomal RNA
Source: RNAcentral
UGUCUCAGUACAAGCGAUCUUGUACUGUGAAACUGUGACUGGCUCAUUACAACAGUUAUAGUUUAUUUGAUUGUGUGGAGCUACGUGGAUAGCCGUAGGAAUUUUAGAGCUAAUACACGCACCGUCGCGGAAGAUCUAACUAUAGAGUUUGGUGGGAUGUAUUAGAUCAAAAAUCAAUCGUUUCCUGGUUUUUUCACAGUAAGCCUGGCGCGAUGAAUCAUAAUAAGUUAACGGAAUCACAUGGCCGUGAUUUUGGCCGGCGAUAAAUCAUUCAAAUUUCUGCCCUAUCAACUUUUGAUUGUAGGGUAGUGGCCUACCAUGAAAAAAACGGGUAACGGAGAAUUUGGGUUCGAUUCAGGAGAGGGAGCGUGAGAAACGGCAUACCUCAUCCAAGGAAGGCAGCAGGCGCGCAAAUUACCCAAUCCCGACACGGGGAGGUAGUGACAAUAAAUAACAAUACCGGGCGUUCAACGUCUGGUAAUUGGAAUGAGUACAAUAUAAAUCCCUUAACGAGUAUCCAU